CCAGCCCUUCAAGAGAAAGUUCCUAAAAGUGCACAUUUUAAUUGAGGUAAAGAAGUUGAUAAAGAACCACAAUGACAAUAGAACACAUAAUGGAAGGAAAUGAUACUCUCAAAAUUCUAUUAAUUCUCAAUGUUCAAAUUAUGCCACCAAAACCAACAUUAAAAUACCCCAAUAUAAAUUAUUUCCAAAUUUCUUCCUAAAAUCUCUAGUAUAAGAAGGUUCAGCGUCACAUAGAUCAAAUAUAAGGCAUAGGAUUACUGCAAAUCAUUGAUG
RNAcentral lists this unclassified non-coding RNA (273 nucleotides) under Hevea brasiliensis (rubber tree). Lineage: Eukaryota; Viridiplantae; Streptophyta; Magnoliopsida; Malpighiales; Euphorbiaceae. The record is from RNAcentral.